GCGCGAAAACUCCUCAAUGCGCGAAAGCGUGAAGGGGGAACUCUGAGUGGUCUCUUUCGGGAGACCUUUUAUGGAGUCUAAUGCGCUUCAUGAAUAAGGAGUGGGUAAGACCAGUGCCAGCCGCCGCGGUAAUACUGGCACUACUAGUGGUAUCCACGCAUAUUGGGUCUAAAGCGCUCGUAGCCGGCCCUCUAAGUCAUUGGUGAAAUCCUUCGGCUCAACCGAAGGAAUUGCCUAUGAUACUAUUGGGCUUGAGAGUGGGGGAGGUCAGAGGUACACUUGGGGUAGGGGUUAAAUCCGUUAAUCCCAGGUGGACCAGCAGUGGCGUGACCUUUCUUUGGGAUGCCAAGAAAGCUCAACCAAAGAAAAGUCCCAUAAAAGGCGUCUGACCAAAACACGUCUGACGGUGAGGAGCGAAGGCUAGGGGAGCAAACGGGAUUAGAUACCCCGGUAGUCCUAGCUGUAAAUGAUGCAGACUUGGUGUUGCAGCGACUUAGAGUCUCUGCAGUGCCGUAGCGUAGAGUUUUCUUUUGGGGUGCCAAAGAAACCUCGUAAAGAAAAUGCGUUAGUGUUAAGUCUGCCACCUGGGGAGUACGGCCGCAAGGCUAAAACUUAAAGGAAUUGGCGGGGGAGCACCACAAGGCGUGGAGGCUGCGGUUCAAUUGGAUUCAACGCCGGGAAUCUUACUGGGAGCGACGGCAGGAUGAGAGCCAGGCUGAAGACCUUGCUUAACAAGCC
RNAcentral lists this ribosomal RNA (738 nucleotides) under uncultured archaeon. Its description in RNAcentral is "partial 16S ribosomal RNA". It matches the Rfam family "Archaeal small subunit ribosomal RNA", at positions 339 to 981 of the family's 1478-position model. The record is from RNAcentral.